This is a long non-coding RNA of Callorhinus ursinus (northern fur seal), 268 nucleotides long. RefSeq lists it as uncharacterized. Lineage: Eukaryota; Metazoa; Chordata; Mammalia; Carnivora; Otariidae. The record is from RefSeq and is a predicted model, not a curated record.
UGUUAACAGACACAGAGAACAGAAGGAAUCAAGACCCUUGGGCUGGAGCAAGCUUGUGACACAAUGGCAGGGAUCAGCAAACUUGCUCUGCAAAGAGGCAAAAGAUGCAAUGGAUGGAGCUCUAGCCACAGUUUUGUACCAUCAAGACAAGGGCCUCCCCGUAAAAAUGAUGGAAGAUCUGGACGUAGGUCCCUGAGGAUUCAAGAAGUAGAAGUAUGACACCAGCCUUUAAUUGACUACUCCUUGACUUUUACAUGAAAGACAAAAA